Molecule: long non-coding RNA, 1028 nt
Filed under: Oreochromis niloticus (Nile tilapia)
Lineage: Eukaryota; Metazoa; Chordata; Actinopteri; Cichliformes; Cichlidae
Description: lncRNA (ENSONIG00000039690.1)
Source: RNAcentral
UAGAAACCAGAUUAUUGUCCUCUGCAGUAAACUGGACCUUAUGUUUUUUGUUGCUAUUAUUUGUUUAGAAGCUGAGGUUCUUAAGGAGAAGAAAGCUGAGCCAGUGACUCCCAAAAAAGGUAUCCUUUUAGCUUUUCACCUCUUUCACAGGUCUUAUUUUUCUUUUAAUUAUCUAACAUGUAGAACAGCAGUAUUUCAGUGGUUUCUCACCUUUUUAUAAAUAUGAUUCAAUUUAAUUGGGGCAUUUAUUAUUCUAGCAGCUGUUACCAAGACAAAACCAUCACCUGCUAAAAAGAAGAAAGGUAUACAGCAGAAUCGUGUGUUGUUUUGCUGUAGAAACAUCACACGCAGCACUGUGCUGAUAUUAAUCCUGUCACAUUCAAGCCACGUCACAUCACUGACAUGUAGCUGCUGACGAUAUGCGUCGCUGCCACGUGAUAAUGACCCAACUAAAAGUAUCAUAAUCUGUUUUUAUUUUGCUUAAAUUAUUAUGUUACCGCUGAGUUUUGUCCUUUUCAAGUUGGUCAUUUUCAUGUUUCAGCAUUCCUCAAUACAUGCUUGAUUGACAUACUAAGUAUGAAUGCUGUUUCACAGUGUCUUAUUUUCUGCAAGACUGAACCUAAAAUGUCUUUACUUAGAGCCAGCUCCCAUUAAGACAAAACCAGCCCCAGCUAAAGGUAAGACCAGACUUAACUUUGUUAAUCAUAAUUUUAAAAUGUACUCAAGCUUUUGAUUUUCACACUCUUUUCUCUGUUACAGAGGCAGAAGCACCACACAAAAAUGUUACUCUAACAAAGGAGAAGGUGAAGGUGGUGCCACUGAAGAAAGUGCCUGUAACUCCAAAAGUAAGAGCCAAACCAGAACCAACCAAAAAAGAAGCUGAGGUUCUUAAGGAGAAGAAAGCUGAGCCAGUGACUCCCAAAAAAGGUAUCCUUUUAGCUUUUCACCUCUUUCACAGGUCUUAUUUUUCUUUUAAUUAUCUAACACAUAGAACAGCAGUAUUUCAGUGGUUUCUCACCUUUUUAUAA